Molecule: unclassified non-coding RNA, 210 nt
Filed under: fungal sp.
Lineage: Eukaryota; Fungi
Also listed under: 1 other name
Description: partial internal transcribed spacer region
Rfam family: Eukaryotic small subunit ribosomal RNA (bases 1-46)
Source: RNAcentral
AAGUCGUAACAAGGUCUCCGUUGGUGAACCAGCGGAGGGAUCAUUACAGAGUUGCAAAACUCCCAACCCUUUGUGAACAAUCUUGUUAGUUGCCUCGGCGGGGAGCCCCUCAGGGAGUCCGACCGCCGGCGGACUGCAAACUCUUUUAAUUACCAUUCUGAUUACUUAUUUAAUAAGUUAAAACUUUCAACAACGGAUCUCUUGGUUCUG